AACUUCCUUGCUGGAAUACGCUUCGUUCCCAAAGGAGUCCAGAAAUCAAAUGAUACCAGUAAAAUAUAGUUUGUUGCCGUGCUCCUGAUCUCUGUCAAGGGUGUCAGGAGACACCCCAUGAGAUAUGAUACUUCAUAAAUCUGAGAGCCCUCCAAUAUUCAGAAGAAUCUAGGCCUCCUCAGGCUGCUUUCUCCAACUGUAUCUCACCUUAUACUGGGAACUGUAAAUGCCAUUGGAGAAGUCCAAACCCUAAAAAGGACAAAAGUUCUCACCAGUCUAGUCUCUUUCCCUGCUGAUAAUGGUCUACAUAAUUCUGAAAUUACUUGGUCUGUAGCAUCGUUGGAUCAGAAGGAGAGGCACUGGAAAAAACUGUGUGGAUCAGCUGGGGACGGACUUUGGGCAUCAUCAUUAUAGUACCUGCAUCAGGAUCAUUCAUUUGGAUUAAUUUCUACUACAGUGUGCACUCCACUCGCCCCAGGCUGAGCUCACGUAGCAACUAAUGCCAGCUGUUCUCAUUUUCAAGAGGUGUUGAUAAUAUGCAAGUGCCAUUUACCAGCGAAAUUUUUACAAGGGUAGAAGAGCAUUGUUUUUUAAAGUAAACUGCUGUUAAGAAGCAAAAAAUAAAAAUAAGCAUGUUUAUUAUGUGUAUAAUAUGUACAUAUCUGUGUAUCUCCUUUAAAUAAUAACCUGUCACGCAGUAAACUAUUUAUGUUUAGAAGCUUUUUGUCCUUUAAACUGUACCCUGUAAUUUCUUACAAUGUAGUCUGAUCUAUUGAUAAUUUCGCUUGGCCCAUUGUCAGAGGUAGAAAAGCACCUUGAAUUGUCUCAUUUCAAUACUGCUAGAAUUGAGGGAUUUGAGGAAUAAACUGCAUGCACCUCACCUUCCUCAGUCUUUGCAUUAUGACUUUUCAGGAAAAGCAUAACUUUCCAGACAAACCUGUAAAACAAGUACAAGACUGCAAUACUUGUUACUACAAUUAACUAAAAUGUGCUUACUCUUGGA
Long non-coding RNA from Calidris pugnax (ruff), 1003 nucleotides. RefSeq lists it as uncharacterized. The record is from RefSeq and is a predicted model, not a curated record. Lineage: Eukaryota; Metazoa; Chordata; Aves; Charadriiformes; Scolopacidae. The transcript is spliced from 5 exons.